UUUUUACAUUUUCAUAUUGACGUUCAACAGAUUUCUUGCCAUAUAAGAGCCUGGGAUGCAAAAAUUCAAUUUAAGAGCAACAGAGAGAAAGAGGGGAGAAAAAAAUUAUAUACAGCAUAACAAUUCAAAGUAGUUCUUCAUCAACCAUAUGAUAUGUGUGGAGUCACUAUAUACAAAAAAACAUAAAUAUCUGAUGAAAUAAAUAGCACUGUCAUAACACUCGUACUGUCACUCAAGCAAAGCUACAUGUCAGGAAGUGCAGAGACCCAGUCCCGGUCCACAUCCAGGAAUUACACACCUGGGCCGAAACACACAUAAAUACACACAUACACCAGUUUGUCCAACUGCACACAAACGCUGCAAAAAGCUUUGGGUCAGAAGAAGGGCUUCAGACAAAGUUAGGGAUAUGUGCGAUGCGUUUACUGUGUUCACACUAACAUGCUACUGUUUACCCUACAUGAAAAAAGAAGAGAAAGACUUGAGGCUAAUUUUGGACAUUUUAGGGAAUUCACAAAAUAAUUAGGGAAAUAAAGAAGAUAAAACUUUCAUUUUAUGCUUGUGGAUUGGCAAAUGUGGGGAGUUUGACCUACACUACAGGAAGGCACCGUAAAGGCAUUCACCUUUUAAUCAUUCAUGUGGACAUUGUUUAGAAGCAGUCAGGGGAUGUCUGCCUGUUGAGCCCUGCAGCAGAACAAAUAAAAAAGAGCACUGUCACUUCUUCUAGUCACCAGUAAUUCAGAGUAAAAAGUGUCCUCGAUUUAAUUCAAUUAAUGUUUUGCCUUUUGGAAAGAGCGCCUACUCAUAGUGCAAAAGAAACAGAUUAGCUGCAUUUUCUUGAUGAAUUAACUACUCUGCAAUUAAAAAAAAAAAAAAAAAAUCUUAAACGCUCUGAAUCUUUCCUGUUUGUCACAUAAAUUAAGUAAUGUUCCCACGGUCUGACUGAACCGGCCAACUGCAGUUAGUGUGUUUACUAAUGUUAGUGGUUUUAACAUUUAUAUUCAUUAUGUUUAAACCCCAGACACUGCUGUAAAUUACACAAAUACUGGUGAAAGGAUGUAGUAUCUUCAGAUAUGCAUAGAACAAAUCAGCUUUCCAGUAUGGAUCAUGUUUCAAUCUUAACUUCAAAGUGUAAAAAAGUCUGGUUGUAUGAGAUUACUGUUGGAUUAUGAAUCGAGCUGACCUUCCCAGAAUUGAAAAAUAAGGCAUCAUGAAAUGGUUUUCAUCAAGAGGAGGAGGAGGACUAGUAACACUAGGUUUGUAGUCAGGAGCAUCUACUUCCAGACCGUUCUUUACCUGGAUAAGAAUGUGUUGAGUCUGAAGACAAGACUGAAGAUUUAAGAUCCAGCUGUAGGUCUACAGUAGGUCUAGCAUGGCCUUUAGUGUUUAUGGCAUAGAUGAAAACAGCUAAUGUUGCUCUAAUGGAACUUUGUAUACAUUAGCUCAAUAGCUUUAUGUGUCCUGUCUGUCUCAUCAUUGCCCAUCGUGUCUAAAAACUUGGCAGCAAAAAUUGUCAGCACAUGUCCUGUCCCAUCCAUCUGUCACUAAAACAUCACUAGCUAUAUCACUCAAUAAAUGUUAAAUACAUACGGUCGCUUGUGCAACCAGCCAGGUGGCAAAUAGCAAACAACUGAUGCAAGAGAUCUGAAACAUGUCUUUUGGUGAGGGAUGAGAAGUCUGAAGAGUUUUAUUACACACACAGAAUGCUAUCGUUAGCUGUCUAGCUUCAUUAGCAUCCUUUAUACUAUUGACAGCCACAGCUGCUUCUCCAAAAAUCUGAAGUGACAAACUUCUACAUCAAAUCACAGUAGGUGUUAACAAAUGAGAAAGUCUUCUGAGUCCUUUUUUUAUGCUUUAGGUUUUGAUCCUGGAAGGUCAAAUCUAUUGUAAUCUUUCAGUUACAAUGGGCUUAGAUUUGCAGUCCAGAUUUACAUGAGCCCCUUUUUUAUCUGAAUUUACUCCAGGGAGGCUCUGUAAAUGUCAGUAGGAUGUGAGCGGCUAAAGACUGAGUACAAAACCAAUUGCGGAGAAAUAGCAUAUUUUUAAAAUAUCAGAUUUGACAUUUUUCAAAUGAUCUUUACGUUUGUUUUGUGUGUGUUUUUCUACAUUACAUUAGAAGGACUUUUCCACACCCAGCCCACUGAGGAUGCACAGUGGCU
Long non-coding RNA from Sphaeramia orbicularis (orbiculate cardinalfish), 2156 nucleotides. RefSeq lists it as uncharacterized. The record is from RefSeq and is a predicted model, not a curated record. The transcript is spliced from 2 exons. NCBI's taxonomy places the organism in Eukaryota, Metazoa, Chordata, Actinopteri, Kurtiformes, Apogonidae.